This 490-nucleotide ribosomal RNA is filed under the name uncultured bacterium. Its description in RNAcentral is "partial 16S ribosomal RNA". It matches the Rfam family "Bacterial small subunit ribosomal RNA", at positions 30 to 507 of the family's 1533-position model. The record is from RNAcentral.
AUUGAACGCUGGCGGCAGGCCUAACACAUGCAAGUCGAACGGUAACGGGAAGACGCUUGCUUCUUUGCUGACGAGUGGCGGACGGGUGAGUAAUGUCUGGGAAACUGCCUGAUGGAGGGGGAUAACUACUGGAAACGGUAGCUAAUACCGCAUAACGUCGCAAGACCAAAGAGGGGGACCUUCGGGCCUCUUGCCAUCGGAUGUGCCCAGAUGGGAUUAGCUAGUAGGUGGGGUAACGGCUCACCUAGGCGACGAUCCCUAGCUGGUCUGAGAGGAUGACCAGCCACACUGGAACUGAGACACGGUCCAGACUCCUACGGGAGGCAGCAGUGGGGAAUAUUGCACAAUGGGCGCAAGCCUGAUGCAGCCAUGCCGCGUGUAUGAAGAAGGCCUUCGGGUUGUAAAGUACUUUCAGCGGGGAGGAAGGGAGUAAAGUUAAUACCUUUGCUCAUUGACGUUACCCGCAGAAGAAGCACCGGCUAACUCCGUG